GGUUAAAUUUGCAAGUAGUCAAUCUAUGCAAUAUCUGACACAUAAUUCUCAAAUGUAACAGAUUUAUUUGGUGCAACACCAUGUACAUUUUGAUAUACACCACAAAUUAAGGAAGCACGAAGAUCUUAAGCAGAAAUUAGUUUAAUUUAGAAUACAUAAUAGAUGGUUACAGUACACUAAGGCUUUGCAGUUAUAAUUUUUACACAAAGCAUGGUAAUAAUGUUUGCUCCACUUUUUCAACAGUCCGACAGACCAGCCGGCCAGACAGGCCUCAGACAACUCAGGAUGAUGCUGGGAUUGCAGGUUCUGCUUCUGUAAGCCGACCUCCUGUAAGGCGCCCAUCACAGGGCUCGGGCCACUUACCCAGGAGGCCAAGUAAGACACGGCGUCUUGGCACGGAAUCUGCGGCUCCAUCUUCCCCACCCAGGCGGCGCAUUUCGGCAGUGUCACCCCAGCCACCACUGGCACUAUUGGCGAGUCCACAGAGUGAUGAGCCCCGAUCACCUCAGUUAUCUGAGCCCAGCUUGAUGGCCGACGUGGACCAGCAGGGACAAGACCAACAGGCAACCUUCACACUGCAACUAACACCUGUUGACCCGAGCCA
Molecule: long non-coding RNA, 604 nt
Organism: Pseudophryne corroboree (corroboree frog)
Lineage: Eukaryota; Metazoa; Chordata; Amphibia; Anura; Myobatrachidae
Exons: 3
Source: RefSeq, a predicted model, not a curated record